Molecule: ribosomal RNA, 165 nt
Filed under: uncultured bacterium
Lineage: Bacteria
Description: partial 16S rRNA
Rfam family: Bacterial small subunit ribosomal RNA
Source: RNAcentral
UAAGGAAUCUUCGGCAAUGGACGAAAGUCUGACCGAGCAACGCCGCGUGAGUGAAGAAGGUUUUCGGAUCGUAAAACUCUGUUGGUAGAGAAGAACGUUGGUGAGAGUGGAAAGCUCAUCAAGUGACGGUAACUACCCAGAAAGGGACGGCUAACUACGUGUCAG